CUCUCUCCUCAGAGAGAAGACAACCAAUAACAGGUUCUCCUGCGUUCUUUCUCGUUUCCUCAACUGUUUGGAGCGAUGAACGAUAGUCCCUUACAAGUGUUAACUUUUCCAACUGCUCCUUACCCCGACCAGAGGCCUGGAACUAGUGGUUUGAGAAAGAAGGUCCAAGUUUUCCAGUCUAAAAAGAACUAUCUGCACAACUUCAUCCAAUGUAUCUUCUCCUCAAUCGACCUGCGGGACAGGCAGGGCUCCACUAUGGUGGUUGGUGGAGAUGGACGCUACUUCAAUUCGACUGCCAUUCACAUCAUAGUGCAGAUGGCUGCAGCUAAUGGGGUGGGUCGUCUCGUGAUUGGUCAGAAUGGUAUCAUGUCGACACCAGCUGUGUCUUGUUUGAUCAGGAAGAUUAAAGCUAUCGGUGGAAUCAUCCUUUCAGCCAGUCAUAACCCUGGAGGACCUGACGGAGACUUUGGCAUCAAAUUCAAUACUGCCAAAGGAGGUCCUGCACCAGAGGCUGUCACAAACAAAAUCUUCCAGAUGAGCAGAACGAUAGAGGAGUAUGCCAUUUGUCCUGAGCUCAGGGUAGAUUUGAGAACAAUUGGCAAGCAAAUCUUUGACUUAGAGAACAAAUUUAAACCAUUUACAGUAGAUAUUGUGGAUCCAGUUGAAUCCUAUGCUAACUCUCUGAGGAACAUCUUUGACUUUGCUGUUCUAAAGGAGCUACUGUCAGGAGACAACCAUAUACAAAUCCGUUUAGAUGCUAUGCAUGGAGUGGUUGGCCCGUAUUUGAAGAAGAUCCUGUGUGAGGAGCUGGGUUCCCCUGCAAAUUCAGCUGUUAACUGUGUACCUCUGGAGAACUUUGGGGGUCGUCACCCAGACCCCAACUUGACCUAUGCUGCUGACCUUGUUGAGACCAUGAAGAAUGGACAUUAUGACUUUGGAGCUGCUUUUGAUGGUGAUGGUGACCGUUAUAUGAUUCUUGGGAAGCAUGGCUUCUUUGUAAACCCUUCAGACUCAGUUGCUGUCAUCGCUGCAAACAUUUUCUGCAUUCCCUACUUCCAGCACACAGGAGUAAGAGGCUUUGCAAGGAGUAUGCCCACCAGUGCAGCUCUUGACAUGGUGGCCAAAGCCACUAAGAUUCAACUAUAUGAGACGCCGACUGGAUGGACAUUUUUUGGGAGCCUGAUGGACACGGGUCGUCUUUCACUCUGUGGGGAGGAAAGUUUUGGCACAGGCUCAGAUCAUAUACGUGAAAAGGACGGGCUUUGGGCAGUGCUAGCAUGGCUUUCUAUCUUAGCAACCAGAAGGCAAAGUGUAGAAGACAUUAUGACAGACCACUGGAGAACCUACGGGAGAAACUACUACACCAGAUUUGAUUAUGAAGAGGUGGAUUUAGAUGCAGCCGUGGAAAUGAUGUUGGAUGUUGAGCUGAUGAUUUCAAACAAAGCAUUCAUCGGGCAAGUGUUUGCUGUGGGGGAAAAUAAAUACCAAGUGGAGACAGCAGACAAUUUUGAGUACAGUGAUCCUGUGGAUGGAACCAUAUCAAGAAACCAGGGCCUGAGGAUAAUAUUUAAAGGAGGUUCACGCAUCAUUUUUCGUCUCAGUGGGACAGAUAGUUUCGGAGCCACAGUUCGUCUGAAUAUAGAAAGUUACGAGAAAGAUGUAAACAAGCUCUUUCAGGACCCGCAGGUAAGCAUGACUGAAUUCUUAUUUUCACCAAUAUUCUAAAUUAUACCUUUAUUUUUAGGAAGUCCCAUAGAUAUACAUAUGUAGACGUAUGUACCUACGUACAUACGGUUCGGAUACAUCAACCGUGGCACCAUCUUGGCAUGGUCAACAAGGAGAGUUGUUUGAAUGUGGCACUAGCGGAGCUCAUCACCAUUGCACUGCAACUUUCACACAUACAUGAAAGAACCGGGCGAACCGGCCCUACUGUUAUUACAUGAUUACAUUGAAUGUUACUGU
This is an RNA transcript of Myxocyprinus asiaticus (Chinese sucker), 1962 nucleotides long. It is a transcript of the gene named phosphoglucomutase-1-like, with no coding region annotated. The record is from RefSeq and is a predicted model, not a curated record. The transcript has 11 exons. Lineage: Eukaryota; Metazoa; Chordata; Actinopteri; Cypriniformes; Catostomidae.